This 306-nucleotide ribosomal RNA is filed under the name uncultured bacterium. Its description in RNAcentral is "bacterial SSU rRNA". It matches the Rfam family "Bacterial small subunit ribosomal RNA", at positions 29 to 319 of the family's 1533-position model. The record is from RNAcentral.
AACGAACGUUGGCGGCGUGGUUGAGGCAUGCAAGUCGCACGAGAACGGGGUAGCAAUAUCCCUAGUAAAGUGGCGGAAGGGUGAGGAAUGGGUAGAUAACGUACCUCGAAGAUGGGCAUAACGGCUCGAAAGAGCCGCUAAUUCCCGAUGAGACCACGGCGGGCAUCUCGCUGAGGUCAAACGCGGAGGACCUCGGGCUUCGCGCUUUGAGAUCGGUCUACUCCCUACCAGCUAGUUGGCGGGGUAAUGGCCCACCAAGGCUACGACGGGUACCCGGGCUGAGAGGCUGAUCGGGCACAUCGGCAC